RNAcentral lists this non-coding RNA (31 nucleotides) under Mus musculus (house mouse). The record is from RNAcentral. Lineage: Eukaryota; Metazoa; Chordata; Mammalia; Rodentia; Muridae.
UGGAAGGUGAUCUGGUUUCCACUUAGCCAUU